GUUGAUCCUGCCAGUAGUCAUAUGCUUGUCUCAAAGAUUAAGCCAUGCAUGUCUCAGUACAGGCCUUUAUACGGUGAAACCGCGAAUGGCUCAUUAAAUCAGCUAUGGUUUAUUGGAUCAUACCCGUUAAAUGGAUAACUGUAAUAACUCUAGAGCUAAUACAUGCCUCGAAGCCCUGACCCGGUCGCCUCGUGCGGCAGGGAAUGGGUGCACUUAUUAGAUCAGAAGCCAACUAGCCGGGUGGUGGUGACGCCCCUCGGCUAAAGCACUUCUGGUGACUCUGGAUAAUUGUUACAGAUCGCAGUCGGCCUUUGAGUCGGCGACGGGUCCUUCAAAUGUCUGCCCUAUCAACUUUCGAUGGUAGGUGACCUGCCUACCAUGGUGAUAACGGGUAACGGGGAAUCAGGGUUCGAUUCCGGAGAGGGAGCCUGAGAAACGGCUACCACUUCCAAGGGAGGCAGCAGGCGCGCAAAUUACCCACUCCCAGCACGGGGAGGUGGUGACGAAAAAUACCGAUGCGGGACUCCUUAAAGAGGCUCCGUAAUCGGAAUGAGUGGACUCUAAAUCCCUUUCACGAGGAUCCAUUGGAGGGCAAGUCUGGUGCCAGCAGCCGCGGUAACUCCAGCUCCAAUAGCGUAUAUUAAAGUUGCUGCAGUUAAAAAGCUCGUAGUUGGAUCUCGGUCGCAUUUUUGCCUGCUGGUAUUAUUGGGUGACUGCACUGGAGUGUCUCAAGUCCUCGGCGUGUGCUUGGCCUUCUGGUGAAGGGCACGUCGGUGGCGUGAGGUGCUCCCUAAACGGUGUGGUUAUCCCAAGCUGGCAUGGCGAGGAUGUAACCUGUAAGCCAUGUCUGUGGAGUAAUGUCCACAGGUGGACGCGGGUGUCGGGCAGUGCACUGCACUUGUUGUGGAGCCUGUCGGCCCGCGUGCAUGCCCCCUCUGGUGCCCUUAAUAAGGUGUCGGGGGGCGGAUGGCACGUUUACUUUGAACAAAUUUGAGUGCUCAAAUCAGGCCGAUGUUGCCUGAAUAGUUUUGCAUGGAAUAAUGGAAUAGGACUUCGGUUCUAUUUCGUUGGUUUUCGGAUCCGAAGUAAUGAUCAAAAGAGACAGGCGGGGACGUUUGUAUGGCUGCGCUAGAGGUGAAAUUCAUGGACCGUAGCCAGACAAACUAAAGCGAAAGCAUUCGUCAAGCAUGUUUUCAUUGGCCAUGAGCGAAAGUCAGAGGCUCGAAGACGAUCAGAUACCGUCCUAGUUCUGACCAUAAACGAUGCCAACUGACGAUCCGUGGUGGUAGUGUUAACCUUCCCCACGGGCAGUCCCCGGGAAACCUUUAAGUCUUUGGGUUCCGGGGGAAGUAUGGUUGCAAAGCUGAAACUUAAAGGAAUUGACGGAAGGGCACCACCAGGAGUGGAGCCUGCGGCUUAAUUUGACUCAACACGGGAAAACUCACCCGGGCCGGACACUAUGAGGAUUGACAGAUUGAUAGCUCUUUCUUGAUUUGGUGGUUGGUGGUGCAUGGCCGUUCUUAGUUGGUGGAGCGAUUUGUCUGGUUAAUUCCGAUAACGAACGAGACUCCAGCCUGCUAAUUAGUGCAUUUGUCCACUGCACCUGUGAGGCGGCGCUGAAUGCGGCUGCUAGUGGGCCUCGGUUCACUUGGUUGGCUAGUCAGGCGGCGUCAGUCUCCGGAGGCGGCGCGAAUGCUCACUUCUUAGAGGGACAAGCGGGAGAAGCCGCACGAAAUAGAGCAAUAACAGGUCUGUGAUGCCCUUAGAUGUCCGGGGCCGCACGCGCGCUACAAUGGCGGUGUCAACGAGUCUGACCUUCUGGCCCGAAAGGGUUGGAUAAACUGGUCAAUCACCGUCAUGACAGGGAUCGGGGCUUGGAAUUGUUCCCCGUGAACGAGGAAUUCCUAGUAAGUGCAAGUCAUAAGCUUGCGCUGAUUACGUCCCUGCCCUUUGUACACACCGCCCGUCGCUACUACCGAUUGAAUGGUUUAGUAAGGUCCUUGGAUCGGCGCCUUUGUAGCUGCCACCGAAAGGUGUUCUGCUCGUCUGGUGCUGAGAAGACGACCAAACUUGAUCAUUUAGAGGAAGUAA
Molecule: ribosomal RNA, 2091 nt
Filed under: Dilepis undula
Lineage: Eukaryota; Metazoa; Platyhelminthes; Cestoda; Cyclophyllidea; Dilepididae
Description: SSU rRNA
Rfam family: Eukaryotic small subunit ribosomal RNA
Source: RNAcentral